AUUCAGUAUUUCUUAUUAGAGAGUCACUUACAGUUUGACCAGGGCUCCAAGUUUCAAUCGUUUAUCUUCUGCUGAGCUGGACAGCCUGUGUUUAUCCCUGGCUCUGUGACUCACCAACCCCGUUACCUAGGACAAGUCGCUGUCCGUAAGUGACAUGCACAAGGCUACUGACUUGGUGAGAAAGGUGGGUAUAAGCCUUUGGGAAUCACCAUCACUCCCAUCAGAGCUAGAAACACGUCUUGGAGCACCAGCCCCGUUGAUGGGGUUUGUCUCCUGAGAUGCUGACACCAAGGUGGCGUUAAAUGAGGGAAGAUUUUGUGAGGGAAUCUGCCCAUGAGGAAACAUCGGGAAAGGGAAGAGGACGCAGGGAAAGCCAUGAAGCUGCCAAGUGAGUCAGCCCCCAGGUGAAGAGGAGAGGGAGAUGGACAGAUGCCAGGAGGACACUGGCUCUGAAGGUACGCAUAUCUCUGGCAACCCCCUCCCCGCUCCUGUCCUGCAGAGGGGUUCGUGUUUCCC
Molecule: long non-coding RNA, 516 nt
Filed under: Bos mutus (wild yak)
Lineage: Eukaryota; Metazoa; Chordata; Mammalia; Artiodactyla; Bovidae
Description: lncRNA (ENSBMUG00000009993.1)
Source: RNAcentral